GUUCUUAUAGUUGAAUAACAACGGUGAUUUUUCAGGUCAUUAAUCAUGGUUUAAGUCCAUGUAGGAACU
This 69-nucleotide transfer RNA is filed under the name Cephalopachus bancanus (Horsfield's tarsier). RNAcentral's name for it is "tRNA-Glu". It matches the Rfam family "tRNA". From Rfam's summary of the family: Transfer RNA (tRNA) molecules are approximately 80 nucleotides in length. Their secondary structure includes four short double-helical elements and three loops (D, anti-codon, and T loops). Further hydrogen bonds mediate the characteristic L-shaped molecular structure. tRNAs have two regions of fundamental functional importance: the anti-codon, which is responsible for specific mRNA codon recognition, and the 3' end, to which the tRNAs corresponding amino acid is attached (by aminoacyl-tRNA synthetases). tRNAs cope with the degeneracy of the genetic code in two manners: having more than one tRNA (with a specific anti-codon) for a particular amino acid; and 'wobble' base-pairing, i.e. permitting non-standard base-pairing at the 3rd anti-codon position. The record is from RNAcentral. Lineage: Eukaryota; Metazoa; Chordata; Mammalia; Primates; Tarsiidae.